Molecule: ribosomal RNA, 478 nt
Filed under: uncultured bacterium
Lineage: Bacteria
Description: partial 16S ribosomal RNA
Rfam family: Bacterial small subunit ribosomal RNA
Source: RNAcentral
AACGAACGCUAGCUAUAUGCUUAACACAUGCAAGUCGAACGGUAAGGCCCUUCGGGGUACACGAGUGGCGAACGGGUGAGUAACACGUGGGUGAUCUGCCCUGCACUUCGGGCUAAGCCUGGGAAACUGGGUCUAAUACCGGAUAGGACCACUGCCUGCAUGGGAGGUGGUGGAAAGCUUUUGCGGUGUGGGAUGGGCCCGCGGCCUAUCAGCUUGUUGGUGGGGUGAUGGCCUACCAAGGCGACGACGGGUAGCCGGCCUGAGAGGGUGACCGGCCACACUGGGACUGAGAUACGGCCCAGACUCCUACGGGAGGCAGCAGUGGGGAAUAUUGCACAAUGGGCGCAAGCCUGAUGCAGCGACGCCGCGUGAGGGAUGACGGCCUUCGGGUUGUAAACCUCUUUCAGCACCGACGAAGCGCAAGUGACGGUAGGUGCAGAAGAAGGACCGGCCAACUACGUGCCAGCAGCCGCGGUAA